GGGAGGUAGUGACAAUAAAUAACAAUACGGGGUUCUUUUGGAUCUCGUAAUUGGAAUGAGUACAAUUUAAAUCUCUUAACGAGAACCAAUUGGAGGGCAAGUCUGGUGCCAGCAGCCGCGGUAAUUCCAGCUCCAAUAGCGUAUAUUAAAGUUGUUGCAGUUAAAAAGCUCGUAGUUGAAUUUCGGGAUUAGUAGGUUGGUCGUGCCUCUGGUAUGCACUGGCUUUACUGGUUCCUCCUUCUUGAAGAACUGUAAUGUCAUUAAUUUGGUGUUGCAGGGAAACAGGACUGUUACUUUGAAAAAUUAGAGUGUUUAAAGCAAGCAUUAGCUUGAAUACAUUAGCAUGGAAUAAUGAAAUAGGACGUUUGAUCCUAUUUCGUUGGUUUCUAGGAUCGACGUAAUGAUUAAUAGGGAUAGUUGGG
RNAcentral lists this ribosomal RNA (422 nucleotides) under uncultured Glomeraceae. Its description in RNAcentral is "SSU rRNA". It matches the Rfam family "Eukaryotic small subunit ribosomal RNA", at positions 459 to 886 of the family's 1831-position model. Lineage: Eukaryota; Fungi; Glomeromycota; Glomeromycetes; Glomerales; Glomeraceae. The record is from RNAcentral.